GAUUCUGCCCUACGGGGAAGGAUGAGAAGCUUCGACUAAGGUUCGACUCGAGCGAAGCGAGAGAACGUUGCCGCAGGCAACGGCCCGAAGGGCGAGGCGCUUUAGCGCCGAGUAAUCCUUCCCCCACCACCA
Molecule: small RNA, 132 nt
Filed under: Klebsiella pneumoniae
Lineage: Bacteria; Pseudomonadati; Pseudomonadota; Gammaproteobacteria; Enterobacterales; Enterobacteriaceae
Also listed under: 2 other names
Description: RtT sRNA
Rfam family: RtT RNA
About the family: This family represents a bacterial cis-regulatory element known as RtT RNA. The exact function of RtT is unknown although it is thought that it may be involved in changing the cellular response in relation to amino acid starvation.
Source: RNAcentral